ACUGGAAAACUCAUUCUCUCCUGAGUACAAGUGAACAGUCGAGUUCACAGUAUAAAUAAUCCCUUUAUUGUGAUUAAUAAGUGAAUAUAUUUGAACACAGCCCGUGUCUGUCAUCUCUUACUAUCAGGUCCCAGCCGGUAGAACUUCUCGUGUUAUCCGAGCCGAAUACAAGCUAAGCUAGCGCUGCAAACAUUGCAACCAUCCCGGAAUUUUCUAAUUUUUUUAAACGGACCUGUAUAAACGCUAUAAUGACUCGCCACGGAGAAAAACUGCCCCGCUGGAGCCGUCUAUACAUACAUACCACGAGAAAAAGAAAAAUAGAGAAAAGUUACUGUUAGCGACAUCGAUUGUUCCCCUCAUCAAAUUAGGAUGCACGUGACGAAUUUAGUAUUAUUCUUGUUAAUUAGUUAUGCCUUUAAAAACUAACGUUUGAACUCGGGAUAUGAAUUGUGAAGCCAGAAAUGAAUGUGAUAUCCCCUUUACGCUGCUCCCGUUAGGGGUCGCCACAGCAGUGUCUACAUUUUAUUUCGAUUUGCGUCCGGUUUAAUACCUGACCUGAUUUGUGUUCAUAUUUUUUGUUUCAUGCUGGGUGGUAAAACAUUUUGUUCCUUGUCUGUGCGCGCGCACGUUUAGCCCAUCAACAGGUGCUAAUACAGUAGUCGAUUCUAUUCCAUAUGUAUUCAUUGGCAGCAUAUCAAAUCUAAUGAAAGAAAUUGUGUCCGAUUAUUUGUUCGGGGUUUUUUUUUGUCCUGCUCAGCUGCAUCUGGGUACGGCGCAUAGAGCAGUCACCUGGGUAAAGAUGCCAUCAAAGACUUUGGCUGCUGCUGCUUAUCUCUGCAACGCUGCCAGACAGCUGUGGUCACUGUCAUCUUACGACUGGCACUCGAUUGUCCACACGAGCAGGCAAGCAGGCGCUUGCUGUGAAAACUUCGUACCGUGAGAUUAUUUUACACAUCUAGUUUGAAAAGGAAACAAGUGGUGGCAACCGAGCUGGAAAAGAAACCAAUACAUUCGAAUGGAGCUGAUUGCCGUCGGCAUGCUGACGCCCUGACAGGAAGCGGCGUCACACGGCCGCGUCAUCACAUCAGUUGGACGCUGCUCAGCAUCACUUGCCACACCUCCAACCAGUUGAUGCUCCUGAUAUCAAGUUGGGGACCCGCGAAGUCCAGCUGGAGCUCGUCGUUGAAGUCCAGGUGGAAAGUGCCCAUUCCGCCGCACUUGAUGACAAUCUGAACAGUGACAAGAUGGCGGCAGGCUCAGUAAGCGCUCCGGCUCUUUCUACUGCAGUCAAGCGGUGCCAAAACACAUUUGUCAUGCAUCUUCAAUCACCUUGAAGGGGAGACCGGCUCCGAAGUCUUUCAAGUUAAUCAUCUUCAAAUUGGUCUCCUCAUUGGGGAGAACCCUUCCCCUAUUUCUGUCAUAACCUAUUUAGACAUAAUUCUCAGGUCCAUAAUUACCCCAUACGGAGCUCAAAUGACCUCAGACCACCAAUAGCCCGUACAUCCCAAACGCAAUGUAACAUGGGCUACAGAGGGUCAAAGAUUUACAAUUCGCUGCCACUAUUUCGAGGGGACUCACCAAUUUAAGAAGGCUCUGAAAUCACUUCUCUUAGACAAUAAAUAUUUUCCAUAUGGUAUGCUAAAUGAACCCGGAUCCAGUCAUUAUUCUCUUGAGUUAUAGGUUUGGUGUGUUUUACCCUAUUGCUGUAUGCCUUAUCCCUGUUAUUCAUUUUUCUUUUAUCUUUCAUCUGUAUGACAUGUAUGAGGACGCAUAUUUCUCGAUCCAUUGAAAUUUGACCUUAAAUGAACUCAUAUUUCUGGAGAAUGCCACUUCGUAAGCCAGCCCCCGGAGGGUUUUUUAGACAUUCUCCAUCAUAUUUAUUUAAUCGAUGUACAUUUGAAAUGUUUUUGUAUGUGAAAAUAAACAAACAAACAUACAAAAUUC
Molecule: long non-coding RNA, 1944 nt
Organism: Syngnathus typhle (broad-nosed pipefish)
Lineage: Eukaryota; Metazoa; Chordata; Actinopteri; Syngnathiformes; Syngnathidae
Exons: 2
Source: RefSeq, a predicted model, not a curated record